Non-coding RNA from Myodes glareolus (Bank vole), 2518 nucleotides. The record is from RefSeq and is a predicted model, not a curated record. Lineage: Eukaryota; Metazoa; Chordata; Mammalia; Rodentia; Cricetidae.
GCAGGCGCGCUCCGCCAAGGUCGGCGAAGGAAGCCGGACUGCGCCUGCGCAGCCGGCGCCCGCGCCCAUGGUGGGAAGGAGAGCUGUGACCUGUUUGGCUGCCUUGAUCCACCACCAUCUUGGAUGUGUGCAAACGCUAAGAGUCCAAGGGAGAGAGAGAAAUUUUGCUGGUGAGAUAUAAAGAGGGCUGGUAAUUGUUUCACUUGGCAGGUAUGAGUUCUACAUUCUCCCCAUUUUUUUAAAAAAGACAUUCUCAUACAGCCCAGACUUUGCUUCGAUGUAGACAGCUAGAAGCCUUGGACACCUGACUCCUGAGUCUUUGGAUUACAGGCCAGUUUAUCAUCAUCAUCGGCAUUAUUUGGGUUGAACGGUUAUUUGAACAUGCUAGGCAUGGACUGUACUACUGAGCUACACCUCCCAUGGGGCUCUUCUACUUCCAAGGGCACGCCCAAAUGUUUUUUUUGUUUUGUUUUGUUUUUUGGUUUUAUUGAGACAGGGUUUCUCUGUAGCUUUGGAGCCUGUCCUUCAAGUAGCUUUUGCAAACCAGGCUGGUCUCAGACUCACAGAGAUCGGCAUGCCUCAGCCUCCCAAGUGCUGGGAUUAAAGGCGUGUGCCACCACCACCCAGCUACACCCAAAUGUUUAAUGACUUUUCCUUUACUCUUACAAUAUUGAACUCUCCUAAAAGAAUUGAAAACAAAUCUUAUUUUUCCGGUAAGAUGAUUAUAUUUGCUCCAAGAUGCAGCUUGAUCAUCAUAGAUAAUUAGCUUCACUUUGGGGUUAUGGUGAUGGUUUGUCCUACAAGGUUCCUGUCGUUUUUGAUUUUGGGCCUUUAUCAUAAAGAUGUUACUUGCUUAGUCGUGUCGCUCCUGGGCUCCAAGGUAUCUGCAAGUUAGGACCAUUUCUGGGGGCCUUCCUUUGCCUUUGUAGGAGGACAUCUUAGAUAAAAUCGUACUAUGAACAGUUCCUUUCGGCGUCUUUUCAGAGAAAGUACUAUUCCUAAAGUGUCACCUUGCAGAAUGUAUGCUGUUAGGAAAGAAAUUGUUGGGUAUAAGAUGCUCAUUUGUAGUAUGAAGCGGGGGCCCCUUUUUGUCCCGGCGCUGCCCCACUAUUCAUUACUGGUAGUAUAACUGUGGACAUUAUCUUGAUGGGGCAUGGUGGCCCACGCUUUUCAACGCAACACUCAGGAGGCAGGUGGAUCAGAAUAGCCAGAGCUACAGAGAGAAACUUUAUCUCAAUAAACAACAGAACAAAAAAUUGUGGACAUUAUCUGAAAUUCAUUGCUGGGCAACUGUUACCGAAACAAUUAUUAACCAAUCCUUAUGCUGGAAUAUACAAUUUAGUUCCAUAAGUCACAAUCUCAAGGAUAUUUUAAUAGUGGGGGAAAUGCUUCUCGUAUCAUUUCAGUGGGAAAUGGAGGAUAUAGAAUUCUAUUUAGGGUAUCCCUUUAUGUGUCUCAACCCCCAUCAGCAAGCAUGUCAGAGUUUUGAGUGUGACUACUUUGAGAGCAGUCAAUGUUUGUAUCUUCCUCCUUAUUUUUUCUAUGUCUCCUUCCCUCCCCCAAACAAUGGAUAUAUUACUUUUCUAUUAUCACAAAUAUAUUCUCAAUUAUUUAAAAUGAGGAUGGGGUAGGGAACGCAAAAGCAUCCUUAAGAAUCUAAUAAAAGCCUUCUUCCUAGUUUUCCUUUGAUUUAAAUGAUUUGGUCUUUUUCAGAUAGAUUCUUACUAUGAGGUAUAGGUUGUCCUGAAUCUAUAUCGCCCAGGCUGUCCCAAAACUCAAGACUCUCCUGCAUCCGCUUCCCAAGUGAUGGAAUUAUAGGUGUGUACCCCAGUAUCCAAGUCUUUGUUUCUUUUCCUUUCUGGUUGAGAUAAGGUCUGGUAUAACCCAGGCUGGUUUCAAACGACCUAUGUAGCUUAGCCUCGAACGGCUGGUCUUCUUGCCUUCAUGUCCCAGUUCUGGGAUUAUGUGUGCACGGCAAGGUCAAUGAGAAGAAAAGAUAGACGAGAGAGUAUGCUCGAUGGUCGGUGAGCCCCAAGAUUCAUCUGCCUUUGCUUCCUUAUGGCUGGGACUGUCUAAAAUAAUCACACCCAGGACUGGAGAGAUGGCUCAGUGGUUACGAAGACUGACUGUCUUUCCGAAGGACCUGGUUUCUGUUCACAGCAUCCACGUGGUGGCUACCAAUUGUCUAUAACUCCAGUUCCAGGGGAUCCAACUCCCUCUUCAGGCUCACACAUACUAUUGUCUGGGAAGCCGGGAAACAAACAAGUAGCCUCUGACUAUAAUACACCACUAUGGAAAUCAGUUUGGCACUUCCUCAGGAAGAUCAGAAUCCAUCUACUUCAAAAUCUAACUAUAGAACUCUUGGGCAUAAACCCAAAGGAUGUUCCACCCUCUCACAGAGACUCUGGAUCAACCAUGUUCUUUGCUGCUCUAUUCCUAAGAGCCAAAACUGGAAACAACCUAGAUAUCCCUUAACCAAAGAAUGAAUAAAGAAAAUGUGGUACAUUUAAACAAUGAA